CUCUGCCGCCCUCACUGCCACCAUCGCACGAACUAGAGGAGGAGGAGAGCCAUCAUGUUGCGUGCAAAAGGGAGAUUGAAGCUGUUGCAUGUGGAGGAGAGGAACGGUGUCGCGGUUGGGGCUGGGAUCUUCUGCCACCCGCUGGGUCACCCACUGCCAUCGCUGUUCUGAAGUUGUCAGGUCACCACGAGGAUCCGAUGCAAGGAGAGGGAAACAGAAACGCAGAUGGAAGAGAGAAAAGGGAGUCACCGCAGCUGCUGAACUGACAAAGCCACUUCUGAGCUGCCGCAGCCAUUGUCGGAGUUCUUAGCUGCCGCCACUGCCGUUGGUAAAUAGUAUUCUUGCUUUCGAUUCCCAUCCUUUCAAUUUCAAGGGAUAUGGUUAUCACUGCGAUGUUAUUGCAGCUGCCACUGAGGUUUUCCACCAUCACUAGAGCCGCUGUGGGGACAGUUUGGAGUUGCUGCCAUUGCUUCGUCUCCAUGUUUCUCUUUUGUUAAGUUCGAGUUCCGGUUGUUGUGUGUCGCGCUUAGAGUUGUGGUUGCUGCUACGGAUAGUGGAUAAAGCUGAGAUUACGGCUGCUGCUGUCGCUGGUCAAGGAAAAGGGAUUUUUGACGCAUUUUGGUUUUGCGAGUUUCGACUUUAAGGUAGGGGUUUUCUUAAAAUUUAUUUUAUAUUACAGAGUUGUGAUAAAUAGAUAUUGGUGUAAAGAGAUUUACUUCUGUGAUUAUAUUUGUCUUGUGGAUGUGAUGGUUUGUUGGACUGAAUUAUUGGGUGCUUGAUUGCGUGAGUGGUGUGUGAUUGUGGAUAAAAACCGGUUUGGAAUGUCAUUUACUUGAUUAUUAAGAAAGGUGGAUUUUCUUGGUUUCAUAGUUUACUUAGUA
Molecule: non-coding RNA, 881 nt
Organism: Arachis ipaensis
Lineage: Eukaryota; Viridiplantae; Streptophyta; Magnoliopsida; Fabales; Fabaceae
Source: RefSeq, a predicted model, not a curated record